Molecule: ribosomal RNA, 490 nt
Filed under: uncultured bacterium
Lineage: Bacteria
Description: partial 16S ribosomal RNA
Rfam family: Bacterial small subunit ribosomal RNA
Source: RNAcentral
AUUGAACGCUGGCGGCAGGCCUAACACAUGCAAGUCGAACGGUAACAGGAAGAAGCUUGCUUCUUUGCUGACGAGUGGCGGACGGGUGAGUAAUGUCUGGGAAACUGCCUGAUGGAGGGGGAUAACUACUGGAAACGGUAGCUAAUACCGCAUAACGUCGCAAGCCCAAAGAGGGGGACCUUCGGGCCUCUUGCCAUCGGAUGUGCCCAGAUGGGAUUAGCUAGUAGGUGGGGUAACGGCUCACCUAGGCGACGAUCCCUAGCUGGUCUGAGAGGAUGACCAGCCACACUGGAACUGAGACACGGUCCAGGCUCCUACGGGAGGCAGCAGUGGGGAAUAUUGCACAAUGGGCGCAAGCCUGAUGCAGCCAUGCCGCGUGUAUGAAGAAGGCCUUCGGGUUGUAAAGUACUUUCAGCGGGGAGGAAGGGAGUAAAGUUAAUACCUUUACUCAUUGACGUUACCCGCAGAAGAAGCACCGGCUAACUCCGUG